Molecule: long non-coding RNA, 298 nt
Filed under: Mus spicilegus (steppe mouse)
Lineage: Eukaryota; Metazoa; Chordata; Mammalia; Rodentia; Muridae
Description: lncRNA (ENSMSIG00000018755.1)
Source: RNAcentral
GUGACUAGAAGGUUCUUUUGCUAUUGAUACAUAAAAGUGUCUGGGCACAACACACCUCCAGCUUUGGAGAUCUGUGGGUUUCCAGGCUACUACUGGGCCAGUGACACGUACAUGAGGAAUGAAUUCAUAUAAUUUUGACAGUGCUAAAAAGGGGAAUUGACAUUCGGAAGGCUUUAGCGACUCUCCUGUACUCAUUCAUAUAGCCAGAAGGUCCAGGAACCUGAAGGUCAAAGGACACUUCUGACUUCUUCUAACCGCCCCACUGUGGAGGAGGGGUCUACCCUGGGAACCCGGAAAG